RNAcentral lists this non-coding RNA (22 nucleotides) under Arabidopsis thaliana (thale cress). The record is from RNAcentral. Lineage: Eukaryota; Viridiplantae; Streptophyta; Magnoliopsida; Brassicales; Brassicaceae.
CCCGCUAUGUAGGGAUACCCCA